GGAUGGUUACAAGAGGCUACCCAAGUCCGAACACUUUCACUAUGGCUUUUGUACUCAAAGCGUGCUCAGCUAUAAUGGCGAUUGAAGAGGGUCAGCAAGUCCAUGCUCGUAUUUUACGAUCUGGGUUUACGUUAAACCCUUAUGUGCAAUCUUCAUUGGUCAAUUUUUACGCCAAGUGUGAGGAAAUAAAGCUUGCUAGAAAGAUGUUUGAUGAAAUUACCGAGAGGAAUUUGGUUUCCUGGAGUGCAAUGAUAACUGGGUAUGCAAGGGUGGGAAUGGUCAAUGAGGCUUUGAGUAUGUUUAGGCAAAUGCAGG
Molecule: unclassified non-coding RNA, 315 nt
Filed under: Hevea brasiliensis (rubber tree)
Lineage: Eukaryota; Viridiplantae; Streptophyta; Magnoliopsida; Malpighiales; Euphorbiaceae
Source: RNAcentral